Molecule: ribosomal RNA, 2931 nt
Filed under: Escherichia coli
Lineage: Bacteria; Pseudomonadati; Pseudomonadota; Gammaproteobacteria; Enterobacterales; Enterobacteriaceae
Description: 23S ribosomal RNA
Rfam family: Bacterial large subunit ribosomal RNA
Source: RNAcentral
GGGUUGUGAGGUUAAGCGACUAAGCGUACACGGUGGAUGCCCUGGCAGUCAGAGGCGAUGAAGGACGUGCUAAUCUGCGAUAAGCGUCGGUAAGGUGAUAUGAACCGUUAUAACCGGCGAUUUCCGAAUGGGGAAACCCAGUGUGUUUCGACACACUAUCAUUAACUGAAUCCAUAGGUUAAUGAGGCGAACCGGGGGAACUGAAACAUCUAAGUACCCCGAGGAAAAGAAAUCAACCGAGAUUCCCCCAGUAGCGGCGAGCGAACGGGGAGCAGCCCAGAGCCUGAAUCAGUGUGUGUGUUAGUGGAAGCGUCUGGAAAGGCGCGCGAUACAGGGUGACAGCCCCGUACACAAAAAUGCACAUGCUGUGAGCUCGAUGAGUAGGGCGGGACACGUGGUAUCCUGUCUGAAUAUGGGGGGACCAUCCUCCAAGGCUAAAUACUCCUGACUGACCGAUAGUGAACCAGUACCGUGAGGGAAAGGCGAAAAGAACCCCGGCGAGGGGAGUGAAAAAGAACCUGAAACCGUGUACGUACAAGCAGUGGGAGCACGCUUAGGCGUGUGACUGCGUACCUUUUGUAUAAUGGGUCAGCGACUUAUAUUCUGUAGCAAGGUUAACCGAAUAGGGGAGCCGAAGGGAAACCGAGUCUUAACUGGGCGUUAAGUUGCAGGGUAUAGACCCGAAACCCGGUGAUCUAGCCAUGGGCAGGUUGAAGGUUGGGUAACACUAACUGGAGGACCGAACCGACUAAUGUUGAAAAAUUAGCGGAUGACUUGUGGCUGGGGGUGAAAGGCCAAUCAAACCGGGAGAUAGCUGGUUCUCCCCGAAAGCUAUUUAGGUAGCGCCUCGUGAAUUCAUCUCCGGGGGUAGAGCACUGUUUCGGCAAGGGGGUCAUCCCGACUUACCAACCCGAUGCAAACUGCGAAUACCGGAGAAUGUUAUCACGGGAGACACACGGCGGGUGCUAACGUCCGUCGUGAAGAGGGAAACAACCCAGACCGCCAGCUAAGGUCCCAAAGUCAUGGUUAAGUGGGAAACGAUGUGGGAAGGCCCAGACAGCCAGGAUGUUGGCUUAGAAGCAGCCAUCAUUUAAAGAAAGCGUAAUAGCUCACUGGUCGAGUCGGCCUGCGCGGAAGAUGUAACGGGGCUAAACCAUGCACCGAAGCUGCGGCAGCGACGCUGAUGCGUUGUUGGGUAGGGGAGCGUUCUGUAAGCCUGUGAAGGUGUACUGUGAGGUAUGCUGGAGGUAUCAGAAGUGCGAAUGCUGACAUAAGUAACGAUAAAGCGGGUGAAAAGCCCGCUCGCCGGAAGACCAAGGGUUCCUGUCCAACGUUAAUCGGGGCAGGGUGAGUCGACCCCUAAGGCGAGGCCGAAAGGCGUAGUCGAUGGGAAACAGGUUAAUAUUCCUGUACUUGGUGUUACUGCGAAGGGGGGACGGAGAAGGCUAUGUUGGCCGGGCGACGGUUGUCCCGGUUUAAGCGUGUAGGCUGGUUUUCCAGGCAAAUCCGGAAAAUCAAGGCUGAGGCGUGAUGACGAGGCACUACGGUGCUGAAGCAACAAAUGCCCUGCUUCCAGGAAAAGCCUCUAAGCAUCAGGUAACAUCAAAUCGUACCCCAAACCGACACAGGUGGUCAGGUAGAGAAUACCAAGGCGCUUGAGAGAACUCGGGUGAAGGAACUAGGCAAAAUGGUGCCGUAACUUCGGGAGAAGGCACGCUGAUAUGUAGGUGAGGUCCCUCGCGGAUGGAGCUGAAAUCAGUCGAAGAUACCAGCUGGCUGCAACUGUUUAUUAAAAACACAGCACUGUGCAAACACGAAAGUGGACGUAUACGGUGUGACGCCUGCCCGGUGCCGGAAGGUUAAUUGAUGGGGUUAGCGCAAGCGAAGCUCUUGAUCGAAGCCCCGGUAAACGGCGGCCGUAACUAUAACGGUCCUAAGGUAGCGAAAUUCCUUGUCGGGUAAGUUCCGACCUGCACGAAUGGCGUAAUGAUGGCCAGGCUGUCUCCACCCGAGACUCAGUGAAAUUGAACUCGCUGUGAAGAUGCAGUGUACCCGCGGCAAGACGGAAAGACCCCGUGAACCUUUACUAUAGCUUGACACUGAACAUUGAGCCUUGAUGUGUAGGAUAGGUGGGAGGCUUAGAAGUGUGGACGCCAGUCUGCAUGGAGCCGACCUUGAAAUACCACCCUUUAAUGUUUGAUGUUCUAACGUUGACCCGUAAUCCGGGUUGCGGACAGUGUCUGGUGGGUAGUUUGACUGGGGCGGUCUCCUCCUAAAGAGUAACGGAGGAGCACGAAGGUUGGCUAAUCCUGGUCGGACAUCAGGAGGUUAGUGCAAUGGCAUAAGCCAGCUUGACUGCGAGCGUGACGGCGCGAGCAGGUGCGAAAGCAGGUCAUAGUGAUCCGGUGGUUCUGAAUGGAAGGGCCAUCGCUCAACGGAUAAAAGGUACUCCGGGGAUAACAGGCUGAUACCGCCCAAGAGUUCAUAUCGACGGCGGUGUUUGGCACCUCGAUGUCGGCUCAUCACAUCCUGGGGCUGAAGUAGGUCCCAAGGGUAUGGCUGUUCGCCAUUUAAAGUGGUACGCGAGCUGGGUUUAGAACGUCGUGAGACAGUUCGGUCCCUAUCUGCCGUGGGCGCUGGAGAACUGAGGGGGGCUGCUCCUAGUACGAGAGGACCGGAGUGGACGCAUCACUGGUGUUCGGGUUGUCAUGCCAAUGGCACUGCCCGGUAGCUAAAUGCGGAAGAGAUAAGUGCUGAAAGCAUCUAAGCACGAAACUUGCCCCGAGAUGAGUUCUCCCUGACUCCUUGAGAGUCCUGAAGGAACGUUGAAGACGACGACGUUGAUAGGCCGGGUGUGUAAGCGCAGCGAUGCGUUGAGCUAACCGGUACUAAUGAACCGUGAGGCUUAACCUUACAACGCCGAAGGUGUUU